UGGGGAAUAUUGCACAAUGGGCGAAAGUCUGAUGCAGCAACGCCGCGUGAGCGAUGAAGGCCCUCGGGUCGUAAAGCUCUGUCCUCAAGGAAGAUAAUGACGGUACUUGAGGAGGAAGCCCCGGCUAACUACGUGCCAGCAGCCGCGGUAAUACGUAGGGGGAUAGCGUUAGCCGGAAUUACUGGGCGUAAAGGGUGCGUAGGUGGUUUCCUAAGUCAGAGGUGAAAGGCUACGGCUCAACCGGAGUAAGCAUUUGAAACUGGGGAACUUGAGUGCAGGAGAGGAGAGUGGAAUUCCUAGUGUAGCGGUGAAAUGCGUAGAUAUUAGGAGGAACACCAGUUGCGAAGGCGGCUCUCUGGACUGUAACUGACACUGAGGCACGAAAGCGUGGGGAGCAAACA
Molecule: ribosomal RNA, 401 nt
Filed under: uncultured prokaryote
Description: bacterial SSU rRNA
Rfam family: Bacterial small subunit ribosomal RNA
Source: RNAcentral